Molecule: ribosomal RNA, 671 nt
Filed under: uncultured bacterium
Lineage: Bacteria
Description: bacterial SSU rRNA
Rfam family: Bacterial small subunit ribosomal RNA
Source: RNAcentral
CUGCCUUACACAGGGGGAUAACACCUGGAAACAGGUGCUAAUACCGCAUAAGCGCACAGGGCCGCAUGGCCCGGUGUGAAAAACUCCGGUGGUGUAAGAUGGACCCGCGUCUGAUUAGCUUGUUGGCGGGGUAGGGGCCCACCAAGGCGACGAUCAGUAGCCGGCCUGAGAGGGUGGACGGCCACAUUGGGACUGAGACACGGCCCAAACUCCUACGGGAGGCAGCAGUGGGGGAUAUUGGACAAUGGGGGAAACCCUGAUCCAGCGACGCCGCGUGAGUGAAGAAGUAUUUCGGUAUGUAAAGCUCUGUCAGCAGGGAAGAAAGAAAUGACGGUACCUGACCAAGAAGCCCCGGCUAACUACGUGCCAGCAGCCGCGGUAAUACGCAGGGGGCAAGCGUUAUCCGGAAUUACUGGGUGUAAAGGGAGCGUAGACGGUGAUGCAAGUCUGGAGUGAAAGGCGGGGGCCCAACCCCCGGACUGCUCUGGAAACUGUGUAACUUGAGUGCAGGAGAGGUAAGCGGAAUUCCUAGUGUAGCGGUGAAAUGCGUAGAUAUUAGGAGGAACACCAGUGGCGAAGGCGGCUUACUGGACUGUAACUGACGUUGAGGCUCGAAAGCGUGGGGAGCAAACAGGAUUAGAUACCCUGGUAGUCCACGCCGUAAACGAUGA